Molecule: long non-coding RNA, 1791 nt
Filed under: Sorghum bicolor (sorghum)
Lineage: Eukaryota; Viridiplantae; Streptophyta; Magnoliopsida; Poales; Poaceae
Description: long non-coding RNA (SBIC_LNC007739)
Source: RNAcentral
UGAGUCCGGUGAGCACCGGACGGUCAGGUGGCUCGCGUCCGGUGACCCUGCGAGUUUGCGGAGCUCUCUGCGCAUGAGUCCGGUGUGUUGCUCAGCGUCUGGUGCACUGCAGGUGACCGUUAGACUCUGACACGAGCGUUUCAAAAGGCGACACGUGGCUGACGUUGGAGCACCGGACGCAGGUGCUGAGCGUCCGGUGCCCCUUUAAGAGCGUCCGGUGACCCCACAGUUUGCCCAAUGAAAGAGCCAACGGCUCUAUUUGUUUGAAGGGCUAUAAAUACGUGUUUGGCCGGCUUGGGGCUCACCCUCUUGGCAUUCUAACAUACUUGACAUCCUUGUGAGCCUAAGCAAACACCUCCCACUCAUCUCCUUCAUAGAUUAUACAUCUUUGUGAGAUUGGGAGUGAUUCCAAGUGCAUUUGCUUGAGUGAUUGCAUUUAGUGGCACUUGGGGAUCGUUUUGGCUGCGGUUUUCUUGUUACUCUUGGUGGUUGCCGCCACCUAGAUGGCUUGGAGCAGCGGAGGAGCAUUGGCACGAGUUGGUGAUUGUUCGUGGCCAUCUCCCGGUGAUUGUGAGGGGUCUUGUACCUUCUCCGGCGGAGAGCCGAAAGGUAACUCUAGUGGAUUGCUCGUGUCAUUGAGCUACCUCAUUUGUGGGUAGGUUCUUGUGGUGUCCUAGUAAGGACGAGGUUCGUGCUACAGCUCUUAGCCACCGAACCACCAAGUGUUGGUCGACACAACGGGGACGUAGCGUGCCGGCAAACACGUGAACCUCGGGAGAAAAAUCUUGUGUCUUCGUUGUGUUUGUUGAUUGGAUUUCUCCCGGUGAUUGGACUUCAUAAUUUUGUGAUUGGUUCAUCCCCUCUACGUGGUGGUAUAAAUAUCAAACUCUCUCUCUUACUUUCUUGCAAACUAGAGUAGCUUACUUCUUGUAUAGAAAGUUUAGGUAGCUCUCUAGUGUAAGUAGAGACUUAGUUCUUGUGUGCAUAGUGAUCAUAGCAACUAGAAUUGUUGGGUAGGUGGCUUGCAAACACCCCGUUAGAGCUAGAGCAAAAAGCUUCGCUUUGUUAUUUACUAACAUCUUGCUCUAGUGUUUUGUAGAAUUUUUUUUAAAUAGGCUAUUCACCCCCCUCUAGCCAUAUUAGCACCUUUCACCGGUGGGCCGCCUGCCCAGCUGGGCCGACCCACUAGCGGCCAUUUUUUUUCUUAUUUUUUAUUUUUCUUAUAUGAUGUAUAUGAUGUAUAAUUGUUCUAAAUAAUUAUUAAUUGUCCUAAAUAAUAAAUAUGACGUAUUAUUAAUUAUUAAUUGUCCUAAAUAUUUAUUAAUUGUUCUAAAUAAUUAUUAAUUAUUAAUUGUCCUAAAUAAAUGUAUAUGAUGUUUUAUUUUUCUUAUAAUUAUUAAUUGUCCUAAAUAUUUAUUAAUUAUUCUAAAUAAUUAUUAAUUAUUAAUUGUCCUAAAUAAAUGUAUAUGAUGUUUUAUUUUUCUUAUAAUUAUUAAUUGUCCUAAAUAAUUAUUAAUUGUCCUAAAUAAUUGUCCUAAAUAAAUUAUUAAUUAUUCUAUAAGGCAAUUAUUUAUAACGCAAUUAUUUACAAUGCAAUUAUAUAUAUAAGUAUGUAUAAAAAUAAUAAACAAUUAAUAUUUACUUUUAGUUUAAGUGUCUAUGUAUAUACAUUAUGCAUAUGCUAAGUAGUUAUUAUUUAUUUUUUAUAAUGCAAUUAUUUACAAUGCAAUUAUAUAUAUGUAUGUAUAAAAAUAAUAAACAAUUAAUAUUUGCUUUUAGUUUAAGUGUUGG